Long non-coding RNA from Pseudophryne corroboree (corroboree frog), 2787 nucleotides. RefSeq lists it as uncharacterized. The record is from RefSeq and is a predicted model, not a curated record. The transcript has 5 exons. Lineage: Eukaryota; Metazoa; Chordata; Amphibia; Anura; Myobatrachidae.
CUCCGCCGCAGAGAGAAGAGAGCGAAGAACUUUCCGUCACAUCGUCGCCCGCACUCCGCUCCACAGACACAACGGCCAAUAUCAUCCACUGCACGUGAGGUCUGCAAUCACGUGACAAAAAGGAGAAGCAGCAUGGUCGGAGCUUCCAAGGCGGGCUGCGUGACGUCACGCCCAAUCAGUCCUCUCAGCGCCGACCCGUAUUUCGCAGCCGUCGCAUGCCAACCAAUCAGCGUCCAGCAGCGAUUCGCGCACUAUGAGCCUGCGGUGGCGGAGGCUGCGGGUUCACGGACAACACCAUAUAGAUGGAUAGUCUUGCCACAGAAAGGGUUCCUGAUGGAAUAUACAGACACCCUGAGGCUUGAAUGAUCAGUGUAUAUAUUCUUCUAAAUACAGACUGUUCCUUCUUCACAUUCAUCGGACUCUUCAGCAUUACCAGAAGAAAGAAGUGUUAGUCUUGUGUCUUCCAUGCUGACUGCACCACAGCUGAGAGAGUUUCUGUCCUGCCACCAUGAGUGGUUCCAUAUCUGAUGUAAUUGUUCCCAUUCAGCAUACAGAGGAUGAGGAUCAACCCGACAGCAAUACACAAUAGAGAGCAUCUGCCAUGGAGGAGUCUGAAGGAAAAUGCUUGCAGCCAGAAUGUUUAGAUGGAGCAUCUUAUCUGUGGGAAAGGCAUUAGCUGCAUCUUCCUCCUAGUGCUGGACAUCUGAGUUUGGUUUAUAGUCCUUUGGAUGUAAAUUGGAGAGAGAAGUCCUUGUCAUUCCAUUGGAAGCGGAAGUCUCCAAGCUGCAAUAUCCUAUUCUACUUUUACUGCAGGUCAUGGCCUCUGAGCAGCAUCUGUCUGUCAGCCGCUGGGCCGCACGUGAUCAGCCGCCAUUCUAGUGCAGCCUUUCUGCGAGCUGGAAAUACACCGUGCUGACAUCAUUUUUUAUUUGGUGUCAAUAUGUUUACAGCAUGAGUGUGAGCUUGCUGUAUUUCAGACUGACCUCUGCGAGCUUCUGCUUUUGGUAUCCUGCCUGCAGUGCACUGAUAGCAGUACUGCUAAGCUACAUAAGUACAGGAACUUACAGUUUAAUUUUUACUUGUGCCUUUUAAACAAUGGUUAUGUAUUUUUUCUGCAGCAACAAAUGCAUUGCUAUGUCCCUCUGGUUUGUUCUGCAUUAUUCCCUCAUGCCUUUAUGACGGGUGGUAUUCAGUAUGCCGGCUGUUGGGAACCCGGCGCUCAGUAUACCGGCGCCGGUAUCCCGACACCAGGCAUACCGACAACUAUUCUCCCUCUUGGGGGUACACGAACCCCCUAGAGGGAGAAUAAAUAGCGUGUAGCGCGCCACUGUGCCCGCAGCAUGGGGCUCAUUUGCACUCGCCCAGCUGCCGGCAUGCUGGCGGUUUCGGGAUCCCGGCCGCCGUCAUAACAUACUACACCCUUUAUGGCAACCAAAUAUAGUGGGGCAGAUGUAUUAAGCCUGGAGAAGUGAUAAACCAGUGAUAAGUGCAAGGUGAUAACGCACCAGCCAAUCAGCUCCGAUAUGUAAAUUGCCAGCUAGGAGCCGACUGGCUGGUGCGUUAUUACCUUGCAUUCAUACAUAGAAACAUAGAAUUUGACGGCAGAUAAGAACCACUUGGCCCAUCUAGUCUGCCCCUUUUUUUUUAUCCUUUAGGUAAUCUCAACCCUUUUUGAACCUUAAUUCUUUGUAAGGAUAUUCAUAUGCCUAUCCCAAGCAUGUUUAAAUUGCUCUACAGUCUUAGCCUCUACCACCUCUGAUGGGAGACUAUUCCACUUAUCCACUACCCUUUCUGUGAAGUAAUUUUUCCUUAAAUUUCCCCUGAACCUCCCCCCCUCCAGUUUCAGUGUAUGUCCUCGAGUUCUAAUAUUUCUCUUCCUUUGAAGAAUGUUUCCCUCCUGAACUUUGUUAAGACCUUUGAUAUAUUUGAAAGUUUCUAUCAUGUCCCCCCUUUCCCUUCUCUCCUCCAAACUAUACAUGUUAAGAUCUUUUAGCCUUUCCGAGUACGUUUUGUGAUGUAGGCCAUGCACCAUUUUAGUUGCCCUUCUUUGUACACUCUCUAAUGUAUUUAUAUCCUUCUGGAGAUAUGGUCUCCAGAACUGGACACAGUAUUCCAGAUGGGGCCGCACCAAUGACCUAUACAGUGGCAUUAUCACUUCUUUUUUCCUACUACUGAUUCCUCUCCUUAUGCAACCAAGCAUCUGACUUGCCUUUCUCAUUGCUUUGUUGCAUUGCUUUCCUGCCUUCAAGUCACUUGAAAUAGUGACUCCUAAAUCCCUUUCCUCCUCAGUAGUUUCCAUUAUAGUACCCUUGAUACUAUAUUUAGCCUUUGGGUUUUUGAGACCCAAGUGCAUGAUUUUGCAUUUUUUAGCAUUAAACUGUAGUUGCCACGUUCUUGACCAUUUCUCAAGCCUACCUAGGUCAUCAAUCAUUUGUUUUACCCCUCCCGGUGUGUCUACCCUGUUGCAUAUCUUUGUAUCAUCUGCAAAAAGGCAUACCUUCCCUUCAAUACCAUCUGCAAUGUCACCAACAAAGAUAUUAAAGAGAACUGGACCAAGUACAGAUCCCUGGGGUACUCCACUGGUAACAUUUCCCUCCAUAGAGUGCACUCCAUUAACUACAACUGUCUGUUUCCUAUCCUGCAACCAGGUUCUUAUCCAUUUAACUGUUUUAUAAUCCACCCCCACGCUUUCAAGUUUAUUUAGCAGUCUGCGAUGUGGGACAGUGUCAAAUGCCUUACUAAAGUCUAGAUAUGCUACAUCUACAGCUCCCCCUUGAUCUAUUAUUU